Molecule: ribosomal RNA, 492 nt
Filed under: uncultured bacterium
Lineage: Bacteria
Description: partial 16S ribosomal RNA
Rfam family: Bacterial small subunit ribosomal RNA
Source: RNAcentral
AGUGAAUGCUGGCGGUAGGCCUAACACAUGCAAGUCGAACGGCAGCACAGUAAGAGCUUGCUCUUACGGGUGGCGAGUGGCGGACGGGUGAGGAAUACAUCGGAAUCUACUUUUUCGUGGGGGAUAACGUAGGGAAACUUACGCUAAUACCGCAUACGACCUACGGGUGGAAGCAGGGGAUCUUCGGACCUUGCGCGAUUGAAUGAGCCGAUGUCGGAUUAGCUAGUUGGCGGGGUAAAGGCCCACCAAGGCGACGAUCCGUAGCUGGUCUGAGAGGAUGAUCAGCCACACUGGAACUGAGACACGGUCCAGACUCCUACGGGAGGCAGCAGUGGGGAAUAUUGGACAAUGGGCGCAAGCCUGAUCCAGCCAUACCGCGUGGGUGAAGAAGGCCUUCGGGUUGUAAAGCCCUUUUGUUGGGAAAGAAAAGCAGCAGGUUAAUACCCCGCUGUUCUGGCGGUACCCAAAGAAUAAGCACCGGCUAACUUCGUG